RNAcentral lists this transfer RNA (69 nucleotides) under Ictidomys tridecemlineatus (thirteen-lined ground squirrel). RNAcentral's name for it is "Spermophilus tridecemlineatus (thirteen-lined ground squirrel) tRNA". It matches the Rfam family "tRNA". Rfam says of the family: Transfer RNA (tRNA) molecules are approximately 80 nucleotides in length. The record is from Rfam by way of RNAcentral. Lineage: Eukaryota; Metazoa; Chordata; Mammalia; Rodentia; Sciuridae.
GGGGUUGUGGCUCAGUGGUAGAGCACUCAACUCACACGUGUGAGGCACUGGGUUCAGUUCUCAGCACCA